CCUACGGGUGGCUGCAGUCGAGAAUCUUUCACAAUGGGGGCAACCCUGAUGGAGCGACGCCGCGUGGAGGAUAAGGUCUUCGGAUUGUAAACUCCUGUCAUGCGAGAACAAGGUUGCAGGGCUAACACCUUUGCAAAUUGAUGGUACCGCAAGAGGAAGAGACGGCUAACUCUGUGCCAGCAGCCGCGGUAAUACAGAGGUCUCAUGAGUUGGUCUGAAUCACUGGGCGGAAAGGGUGCGUAGCUGGCGUGAAAGCCCGGGGCUCAACCUCGGAAUUGCAUCCGAUACUGCCAUGCUGGAGUACUGAAGAGGUGACUAGAAUUCUAGGUGUAGCAGUGAAAUGCGUAGAUAUCUAGAGGAAUACCAACGGCGAAGGCAGGUCACUGGGCAGUUACUGACACUGAGGCACGAAGGCCAGGGGAGCAAACGGGAUUAGAUACCCCUGUAGUC
RNAcentral lists this ribosomal RNA (450 nucleotides) under uncultured bacterium. RNAcentral's name for it is "partial 16S ribosomal RNA". It matches the Rfam family "Bacterial small subunit ribosomal RNA", at positions 338 to 795 of the family's 1533-position model. The record is from RNAcentral.